This 253-nucleotide ribosomal RNA is filed under the name uncultured bacterium. RNAcentral describes it as "partial 16S ribosomal RNA". It matches the Rfam family "Bacterial small subunit ribosomal RNA", at positions 524 to 776 of the family's 1533-position model. The record is from RNAcentral.
UACGUAGGGUGCGAGCGUUAAUCGGAAUUACUGGGCGUAAAGCGUGCGCAGGCGGUUUUGUAAGCCAGAUGUGAAAUCCCUCGGCUCAACUGAGGAACUGCCUUUGAAACUGUCUGGCUUGAGGCCGGGAGAGGGUAGCGGAAUUCCCAGUGUAGCGGUGAAAUGCGUAGAUAUUGGGAGGAACACCAGUGGCGAAGGCGGCUACCUGGACCGGUUCUGACGCUGAGGCGCGAAAGCGUGGGUAGCAAACAGG